This 497-nucleotide ribosomal RNA is filed under the name uncultured bacterium. Its description in RNAcentral is "partial 16S ribosomal RNA". It matches the Rfam family "Bacterial small subunit ribosomal RNA", at positions 28 to 507 of the family's 1533-position model. The record is from RNAcentral.
GAUGAACGCUGGCGGCGUGCCUAAUACAUGCAAGUCGAGCGAACAGACGAGGAGCUUGCUCCUCUGACGUUAGCGGCGGACGGGUGAGUAACACGUGGAUAACCUACCUAUAAGACUGGGAUAACUUCGGGAAACCGGAGCUAAUACCGGAUAAUAUAUUGAACCGCAUGGUUCAAUAGUGAAAGACGGUUUUGCUGUCACUUAUAGAUGGAUCCGCGCCGCAUUAGCUAGUUGGUAAGGUAACGGCUUACCAAGGCAACGAUGCGUAGCCGACCUGAGAGGGUGAUCGGCCACACUGGAACGGAGACACGGUCCAGACUCCUACGGGAGGCAGCAGUGGGGAAUAUUACACAAUGGGCGAAAGCCUGACGGAGCAACGCCGCGUGAAUGAAGAAGGUCUUCGGUUCGUAAAACUCUUUUAUUGGGGAAGAACAAAUGUGGAAGAAAAUACGCACGUCUUGACGGUACCUAAUCAAAAAGCACCGGCUAACUACGUG